UGCCAGCAGCCGCGGUAAUACGAACUGUGCGAACGUUAUUCGGAAUCACUGGGCUUAAAGGGUGCGUAGGCGGGUUUAAAGGUCUGAUGUGAAAGCCCACGGCUCAACCGUGGAAUUGCGUUGGAAACCAUAAAUCUUGAGGGAGUCAGAGGUGAGCGGAACUGAUGGUGGAGCGGUGAAAUGCGUUGAUAUCAUCAGGAACACCGGUGGCGAAAGCGGCUCACUGGGACUUUUCUGACGCUGAGGCACGAAAGCUAGGGGAGCGAACGGGAUUAGAUA
RNAcentral lists this ribosomal RNA (279 nucleotides) under uncultured bacterium. RNAcentral's name for it is "partial 16S ribosomal RNA". It matches the Rfam family "Bacterial small subunit ribosomal RNA", at positions 506 to 784 of the family's 1533-position model. The record is from RNAcentral.